Molecule: non-coding RNA, 106 nt
Organism: Paramarasmius palmivorus
Lineage: Eukaryota; Fungi; Basidiomycota; Agaricomycetes; Agaricales; Marasmiaceae
Source: the annotation of a GenBank genome assembly
UCUGUGAUGGCCCAGUGGUAGGGCGUCAUGCUGUGUGCAUACACGUUCCUCGAGGACAGUUUGCGUCAGCUAUAUGAAGGUCCUGGUUCGAAUCCAGGUCACGGUA